Molecule: ribosomal RNA, 462 nt
Filed under: Orvasca subnotata
Lineage: Eukaryota; Metazoa; Arthropoda; Insecta; Lepidoptera; Erebidae
Description: partial large subunit ribosomal RNA
Source: RNAcentral
UGCCCACUGAUUUUAAUAAUUAAAGGGCUGCAGUAUAUUGACUGUACAAAGGUAGCAUAAUCAUUAGUCAUUUAAUUGAUGACUGGUAUGAAAGAUUUGAUGAGAUAUAAACUGUUUUAAUUUUAAAUUGUAGAAUUUAAUUUUUUAGUUAAAAAGCUAAGAUAAUUUAAAAAGACGAGAAGACCCUAUAGAGUUUUAUUUUAAUAUGAAUUUAUAAAUUUAUGUAAAUUUAAAAUUGAAAUUUUUGUUAAAAUUUUGUUGGGGUGAUAGAAAAAUUUAAUAAACUUUUUUUUUAUAGUUUACAUUAAUAAGUGAUUAUUUGAUCCAAUUUUAUUGAUUAUAAGAAUAAAUUACCUUAGGGAUAACAGCGUAAUUUUUUUUUUUAGUUCAUAUAAGAAAAAAAGUUUGCGACCUCGAUGUUGGAUUAAAAUAAAAUUUAAAUGUAGAAGUUUAAAAUUUUGA